RNAcentral lists this ribosomal RNA (933 nucleotides) under Keratosa sp. 1 JV-2020. Its description in RNAcentral is "partial large subunit ribosomal RNA". It matches the Rfam family "Eukaryotic large subunit ribosomal RNA", at positions 87 to 828 of the family's 3401-position model. The record is from RNAcentral. Lineage: Eukaryota; Metazoa; Porifera; Demospongiae.
CGGCGAGCGAAGCGGGAAUUGCUCAAAUUUAAAAUCUCCGGUGCUUGCGCCGGCGAAUUGUAGUCUGGAGGCGCGGUUUCGCCCUACGCGGUGUCCUCAAAGUCGUCCUGGAAAGGCGGGCCAAAGAGGGUGAGAGCCCCGUGCGCGGGGGCAUUGCCGAAGGCAAGAUCCGUCGCCAAGAGUCGGGCUGUUUGGGAUUGCAGCCCAAAACGGGUGGUAAACUCCAUCUAAAGCUAAAUACUGGCACGAGACCGAUAGCGAACAAGUACCGUGAGGGAAAGAUGAAAAGCACUUUGAAAAGAGAGUCAAAUAGUACGUGAAACCGUCGGGAGGGGAAACGAACGAGGUCGGUGCGGCGAUGUGCAGACUCAGGCCGGGCCGAAGGAGAACGUGGGGUGAGUCGAGACGGCUCUCUCACGUGCAACUGAGGUGCGGACGGAUUUCUCGCGAUUGCGGACCAACGGCGGUUGGACCCGGGGCAGAAGGGGUGACGGCAGGUGUGCCGGUCGGAUUCGUUCCGACGGGCAACUUAUAGCGUCGCAUCCGCACUCGGGUUCGACCGAGGAAGGGGCAGCCUUUGCCCGUUUGGUGCACGCCGUAAGGCGGGACCCGCCUCGGAGGUGAGUCGGCAGGCAGGGACUGCACGCGGUGUCUGUCGAGUCGGCGAGCCUGCCGUGGGACGUGGUCACUUGUGCGCCAGUGCCGCUGGUAUUCGGACGGCCUCGUCCGACCCGUCUUGAAACACGGACCAAGGAGUGCAACAUGUGCGCGAGCCCUUUGGCGAGCAAACCAGAAGGCGAAAUGAAAGUGAAGGCGCGGUCGCCGCGCUGAGGUGAGAGCCCGUGAGGGCGCAUCAUCGACCGACGCCAUCCGAGCUUCCGGGUGCGGCGGAGUUCGAGUAAGAGUGUACCUGUUGCGACCCGAAAGAUGGUG